RNAcentral lists this ribosomal RNA (519 nucleotides) under uncultured Gammaproteobacteria bacterium. Its description in RNAcentral is "bacterial SSU rRNA". It matches the Rfam family "Bacterial small subunit ribosomal RNA", at positions 531 to 1051 of the family's 1533-position model. The record is from RNAcentral. Lineage: Bacteria; Pseudomonadati; Pseudomonadota; Gammaproteobacteria.
UAACCCGAUUUUUCCGGAAAUUCUUGGGCGUAAGCGCACGCAGCGGGUUUGUUAGUCAGAUGUGAAAAACAAAGGAUCAACCUGGGAACUGCAUCUGAUACUGGUAAGCUUGAGUCUCGUAGAGGGGGGUAGAAUUCCUGGUGUAGCGGUGAAAUGCGUAGAGAUCUGGAGGAAUACCGGUGGCGAAGGCGGCCCCCUGUACGAAAACUGACGCUCAUGUGCGAAAGCGUGUGGAGCAAACUGGAUUAGAUACCCUGGUAGUCCACGCCGUAAACGAUGUCGACUUGGAGGUUGUGCCCUUGAGGCGUGGCUUCCGGAGCUAACGCGUUAACUCGACCGCCUGGGGAGUACAGCCGCAAGGCUAAGACUCAAAUGAAUUGACGGGGGCCCGCACAAGCGGUGGAGCAUGUGGUUUAAUUCCAUGCAACGCAAAUAACCUUACCUGGUCUUGACAUCCACGGAAGUUUUCAGAGAUGAGAAUGUGCCUUCGGGAACCGUGAGACAGGUGCUGUAUGGCUG